This 361-nucleotide transfer RNA is filed under the name Microcystis sp. BG43. Its description in RNAcentral is "16S-23S ribosomal RNA intergenic spacer". The stretch from base 133 to 206 matches the Rfam family "tRNA". Lineage: Bacteria; Bacillati; Cyanobacteriota; Cyanophyceae; Chroococcales; Microcystaceae. The record is from RNAcentral.
AAGGGAGACCUAAUUCGGGUAUAAGACGAAAAAAUAGUAGUCGAAACCAAGAAUCAAUCCCAAAAGGUCGGAACGAGGUAUGUGGCUUUCAAACUAGGUUCUGGGUUCACACAAGACCUGAAUCAGGAACAAGGGCUAUUAGCUCAGGUGGUUAGAGCGCACCCCUGAUAAGGGUGAGGUCCCUGGUUCGAGUCCGGGAUGGCCCACCUGUACAGGUGGCAAAAAGAAAGAAAAGAAGCGAGGAAUCAGCACCUUAUCUUACUUACAUAGUAAGAGAGAAUGCUGGCUCUGAGUUCAGAGUCCAGAGGAACCUUGAAAACUGCAUAGAGCUAGGUGAAAAAGCCAAAAAAGAAGACCGCAA